Molecule: ribosomal RNA, 253 nt
Filed under: uncultured bacterium
Lineage: Bacteria
Also listed under: 1 other name
Description: partial 16S ribosomal RNA
Rfam family: Bacterial small subunit ribosomal RNA
Source: RNAcentral
UACGAAGGGAGCAAGCGUUGUCCGGAUUUAUUGGGCGUAAAGAGCGUGUAGGCGGCCAGACAGGUCCGUUGUGAAAACUGGAGGCUUAACCUCCAGACGUCGAUGGAAACCGUCUGGCUAGAGUCCGGAAGAGGAGAGUGGAAUUCCUGGUGUAGCGGUGAAAUGCGCAGAUAUCAGGAAGAACACCCGUGGCUAAGGCGGCUCUCUAGUACGGUACUGACGCUGAGACGCGAAAGCGUGGGGAGCGAACAGG